GAUGAACGCUGGCGGCGUGCCUAAUACAUGCAAGUCGAGCGAACAGACGAGGAGCUUGCUCCUCUGACGUUAGCGGCGGACGGGUGAGUAACACGUGGAUAACCUACCUAUAAGACUGGGAUAACUUCGGGAAACCGGAGCUAAUACCGGAUAAUAUAUUGAACCGCAUGGUUCAAUAGUGAAAGACGGUUUUGCUGCUACUUAUAGAUGGAUCCGCGCCGCAUUAGCUAGUUGGUAAGGUAACGGCUUACCAAGGCAACGAUGCGUAGCCGACCUGAGAGGGUGAUCGGCCACACUAGAACUGAGACACGGUCCAGACUCCUACGGGAGGCAGCAGUAGGGAAUCUUCCGCGAUGGGCGAAAGCCUGACGGAGCAACGCCGCGUGAGUGAUGAAGGUCUUCGGAUCGUAAAACUCUGUUAUUAGGGAAGAACAAAUGUGUAAGUAACUAUGCACGUCUUGACGGUACCUAAUCAGAAAGCCACGGCUAACUACGUG
This 497-nucleotide ribosomal RNA is filed under the name uncultured bacterium. RNAcentral describes it as "partial 16S ribosomal RNA". It matches the Rfam family "Bacterial small subunit ribosomal RNA", at positions 28 to 507 of the family's 1533-position model. The record is from RNAcentral.